AGGCGUGGUUCAAUGGUAGAACAUCAGCCUUCCAAGCUGAAUACGUGGGUUCGAUUCCCAUCGCCUG
This 67-nucleotide transfer RNA is filed under the name bovine gut metagenome. It matches the Rfam family "tRNA". Rfam says of the family: Transfer RNA (tRNA) molecules are approximately 80 nucleotides in length. The record is from RNAcentral.